UUCGCAAUGCCCGAAAGGGUGACGAAGCGACGCCGCGUGUGGGAAGAAGGCCUUCGGGUUGUAAACCACUGUCGGGAGUUAAGAAAUGCAAGGAUAUGAAUAGUGUCUUUGCUUGACUAAGGCUCCGGAGGAAGCCACGGCUAACUCUGUGCCAGCAGCCGCGGUAAUACAGAGGCGGCAAGCGUUGUUCGGAAUUAUUGGGCGUAAAGAGCACGUAGGCGGCUAUGUAAGUCGGUUGUGAAAGCCUUCCGCUCAACGGGAGAACAGCAUCCGAUACUACAUGGCUUGAGUGCGGGAGGGGAGAGUGGAACUUCUGGUGGAGCGGUGAAAUGCGUAGAUAUCAGAAGGAACGCCGGCGGCGAAAGCGGCUCUCUGGCCCAUGACUGACGCUGAGUGUGCGAAAGCUAGGGGAGCAAACGGGAUUAGAUACCCCGGUAGUCCUAGCCGUAAACGAUGGGCACUAAGUAGAGGGGUUUU
RNAcentral lists this ribosomal RNA (477 nucleotides) under uncultured bacterium. RNAcentral describes it as "bacterial SSU rRNA". It matches the Rfam family "Bacterial small subunit ribosomal RNA", at positions 365 to 832 of the family's 1533-position model. The record is from RNAcentral.